This 120-nucleotide non-coding RNA is filed under the name Scrippsiella hangoei. The record is from RNAcentral. Lineage: Eukaryota; Dinophyceae; Peridiniales; Peridiniaceae.
UGCCAUCGAGAUGGGUUGCUCCAGCGCCAAGCCUGCUUCCAAGAGCAGUGACCCGUCGUCCUUCGGUAGCCAGAAGAAGGAUAACGAGCGUCUCCUCGACAAGUACACCUUGGGCGAAGU